CUCCCCAAACCCUGUAUUCAUACCCGCCCUUGGAGGGUAAUUCGCCCCACUUGGGACUGAGACACGGCCCCAGCUUCUUAGGGGAGGCACCAGUAGGGAUUCUUCCCCAAUGGCCGAAAGUCUGAUGGAGCAACGCCGCGUGAGUGAAGAAGGUUUUCGGAUCGUAAAACUCUGUUGUUGGAGAAGAAUGUAUCUGAUAGUAACUGAUCAGGUAGUGACGGUAUCCAACCAGAAAGCCACGGCUAACUACGUGCCAGCAGCCGCGGUAAUACGUAGGUGGCAAGCGUUGUCCGGAUUUAUUGGGCGUAAAGCGAGCGCAGGCGGUUUCUUAAGUCUGAUGUGAAAGCCUUCGGCUCAACCGAAGAAGUGCAUCGGAAACUGGGAAACUUGAGUGCAGAAGAGGACAGUGGAACUCCAUGUGUAGCGGUGAAAUGCGUAGAUAUAUGGAAGAACACCAGUGGCGAAGGCGGCUGUCUGGUCUGUAACUGACGCUGAGGCUCGAAAGCAUGGGUAGCAAACAGGAUUAGAUACCCUGGUAGUCCAUGCCGUAAACGAUGAGUGCUAGGUGUUGGAGGGUUUCCGCCCUUCAGUGCCGCAGCUAACGCAUUAAGCACUCCGCCUGGGGAGUACGACCGCAAGGUUGAAACUCAAAGGAAUUGACGGGGGCCCGCACAAGCGGUGGAGCAUGUGGUUUAAUUCGAAGCAACGCGAAGAACCUUACCAGGUCUUGACAUCCUUUGACCACUCUAGAGAUAGAGCUUUCCCUUCGGGGACAAAGUGACAGGUGGUGCAUGGUUGUCGUCAGCUCGUGUCGUGAGAUGUUGGGUUAAGUCCCGCAACGAGCGCAACCCUUAUUACUAGUUGCCAGCAUUUAGUUGGGCACUCUAGUGAGACUGCCGGUGACAAACCGGAGGAAGGUGGGGACGACGUCAAAUCAUCAUGCCCCUUAU
This 950-nucleotide ribosomal RNA is filed under the name Latilactobacillus sakei. RNAcentral describes it as "bacterial SSU rRNA". It matches the Rfam family "Bacterial small subunit ribosomal RNA", at positions 264 to 1205 of the family's 1533-position model. Lineage: Bacteria; Bacillati; Bacillota; Bacilli; Lactobacillales; Lactobacillaceae. The record is from RNAcentral.